GGGCGUCGGUGCUGUCCGGCUGAGAUGAUAGCCUAAGUUAUCUACCCUUAGAACCUGAUCCGGGUAAUUCUGGCGAAGGGAGCUUGGUUUUUUU
RNAcentral lists this non-coding RNA (94 nucleotides) under bovine gut metagenome. The record is from RNAcentral.